CAGAAAAUAGUAUAUAAUAAGUACAUAAAUUUUGGAUAUUUAAAGAGACUUUUCUUUUCUGA
Molecule: transfer RNA, 62 nt
Filed under: Ixodes simplex
Lineage: Eukaryota; Metazoa; Arthropoda; Arachnida; Ixodida; Ixodidae
Description: tRNA-Pro
Source: RNAcentral